RNAcentral lists this long non-coding RNA (233 nucleotides) under Lathyrus oleraceus (garden pea). RNAcentral describes it as "Pisum sativum (pea) long non-coding RNA (PSAT_LNC023483)". Lineage: Eukaryota; Viridiplantae; Streptophyta; Magnoliopsida; Fabales; Fabaceae. The record is from RNAcentral.
UUCAAACCCCACACCUUUUGGUUGUAAGUGACUUAGGGCGCGUGCUUUUACCACUGGGGUGGUUAUACAUCCGUUCAUUAUAAUAUAAGGAAUUAUAUAUAUUAUAAAAAACGCGUUUGAUUUGACUUUUCCAUGCCAUGUCAACAUCUUCUUCAACCUAUAGCUUCUUAUUUUCAUAUUUUUUUCUUUCAUUAUUUUUUAAAUCUUCCAUCAAUCAUAUCUCUCUCAUUUCU